AUCGGGCAGGCCGCGGGCGGAAGUGAGAACGCGCGGCGCGGCUCUUCUUAUACUUCUGGGGACCGGCCGUUUCACUUGUUGUCGUCGGCGUCGACGGAGGCCGGGAGACCCUCCUCGCCGUCGCCGCGGCUAUUCUUGACGAGGCCCGCGGCCAUGGCGGAGACAGCAGCGACGACGUCCUUGAGGAUCUUCUCCUUGAUCUGGCCCCUCCGCGGCGGCGGCGGCAGGCCCGCCCUGCUGCCGCCUCUGGUGGCGGCGCGCCCAGCUACUGCCGGCAUGGCCGGCGCCGGAACCUGGAUGGUCUCGGUGGCCAUCAGCGAGGCAGCUGGGGACUGGGUGGUGGACGACAAGAGGAGGAGAGGGGACACUGUUGGAUUUGAUUGCA
This 385-nucleotide unclassified non-coding RNA is filed under the name Zea mays. RNAcentral describes it as "misc RNA Zm00001eb289890". The record is from RNAcentral. Lineage: Eukaryota; Viridiplantae; Streptophyta; Magnoliopsida; Poales; Poaceae.